UGGGGAAUUUUGGACAAUGGGCGAAAGCCUGAUCCAGCAAUGCCGCGUGUGUGAAGAAGGCCUUCGGGUUGUAAAGCACUUUUGUCCGGAAAGAAAUCCUUGGCUCUAAUACAGUCGGGGGAUGACGGUACCGGAAGAAUAAGCACCGGCUAACUACGUGCCAGCAGCCGCGGUAAUACGUAGGGUGCAAGCGUUAAUCGGAAUUACUGGGCGUAAAGCGUGCGCAGGCGGUUUGCUAAGACCGAUGUGAAAUCCCCGGGCUCAACCUGGGAACUGCAUUGGUGACUGGCAGGCUAGAGUAUGGCAGAGGGGGGUAGAAUUCCACGUGUAGCAGUGAAAUGCGUAGAGAUGUGGAGGAAUACCGAUGGCGAAGGCAGCCCCCUGGGCCAAUACUGACGCUCAUGCACGAAAGCGUGGGGAGCAAACAGGAUUAGAUACCCUGGUAGUCCACGCCCUAAACGAUGUCAACUAGUUGUUGGGGAUUCAUUUCCUUAGUAACGUAGCUAACGCGUGAAGUUGACCGCCUGGGGAGUACGGUCGCAAGAUUAAAACUCAAAUGAAUUGACGGGGUCAUAGAUGUUUCC
RNAcentral lists this ribosomal RNA (584 nucleotides) under uncultured bacterium. RNAcentral's name for it is "partial 16S ribosomal RNA". It matches the Rfam family "Bacterial small subunit ribosomal RNA", at positions 355 to 934 of the family's 1533-position model. The record is from RNAcentral.